Non-coding RNA from Paramuricea clavata, 752 nucleotides. Lineage: Eukaryota; Metazoa; Cnidaria; Anthozoa; Malacalcyonacea; Plexauridae. The record is from the annotation of a GenBank genome assembly.
ACACCGGUAACUGUGUUUCCUUUUAGAGUUGACCACCAUGUGCCGAGAUGUUGCAUCACAACACAUGAAAGUAAAGAAUACCCAACUUUCACAUUGUUUCAGCAUCUCAUUCAGAAACUCUAAUCAAAAUUCAUUUAAAGAACAGCAACCUGAACGAUGUGAAAUAUGAAUUAUGUACAUCAUAUUUUUUUUAAUAUAGCGUGUUUGAAAUGUAAAAAACCAACAUCCCUCACAUUUUAUGCUUUUUAUCACUAUUAUAAACAGGGUGCCAUAUACUGCUAUAGUUUCAAAUAGUGAAAUCUUGACUGAUUUCUGCCUAAGUAUUUCACAAAAUAUUAAAUACAACGAUAUCCAGCUGCGCAUAAGUUAUUAUACCAUUUACAUUUCUUCUAAAUCCUUUAGACAUGGCUCACAUGAGUAUUAAUUUCUCGGUAAUUUCGGAAUUUCAAUUUUCCACUCGACCACUCCUACGAUGAAUAACAGUGCCAUAUAAAUCGGUAGAUAAUCUUCAAAGGUUUCUCAUACCAACACAUCUUUCAAGGACGAAUUAUAUAAACAUGUUAAUAACAACUUCAGUAAAGGAAAACUGUUAUGAGCAAAAUAACAAGUGUUUCUCGUGCCGAUUAUUUUCUGAAACACUCGGGCGCCAUCUUGAAAUUUGAGUUCGGGGGGGUGAAUGCCUCUCUUUCGCGCACUGGCUAAGCUUUUGGCGGCCGGUUACACUUUUUUGGCUGAGUUCCACCUCUGUGUAG